AGAGUUUGAUCCUGGCUCAGGACAAACGCUGGCGGCGUGCCUAACACAUGCAAGUCGCACGUCCUUUUUCUUCUUCGGAAGAGGGAGGGAGUGGCGGACGGGUGAGUAACACGUGGGUGACCUACCCCGAGGUGAGGGAUACCGGGGCGAAAGCCUCGACAAGCCCGCAUAGGUUUUUCUCGGUAGACGAGGGAAGCAAAGCAGCGAUGCGCCACGGGAGGGGCCUGCGUCCGAUUAGCUGGUUGGUGGGGUAAGAGCUCACCAAGGCGAUGAUCGGUAGCUGGUCUGAGAGGACGAGCAGCCACACUGGGAUUGAGAACGGCCCAGACUCCUACGGGGGGCAGCAGUGAGGAAUAUUCGGCAAUGGGCGCAAGCCUGACCGAGCAACGCCGCGUGCAGGAAGACACUUUUCGGAGCGUAAACUGCUUUUCUGUGGGACGAGCGAGGACGGUACCACAGGAACAAGCCUCGGCUAACUACGUGCCAGCAGCCGCGGUAAUACGUAGGGGGCGAGCGUUGUCCGGAGUUACUGGGCGUAAAGGGCACGCAGGCGGUGCGGCGCGUGUCGCGUGACAGCGGGUGGCUUAACUGCCCGAGGGUGCGACAGACGGCCGGACUUGAGGGCCAGAGAGGGACCUGGAAUUCCGGGUGGAGUGGUGAAAUGCGUAGAUAUCCGGAGGAACACCAAAGGCGAAGGCAGUGUCCUGGCUGAUACCUGACGCUCAGAGGCGACAGCGAGGGGAGCGAACGGGAUUAGAUACCCCGGUAGUCCUCGCCGUAAACGAUGACCACGAGAUGUCCGGGGGAUCGACCCCCUGGGUGUCGCAGCUAACGCAGUCAGUGGUCCGCCUGGGGAGUACGGUCGCAAGAUUAAAACUCAAAGGAAUUGACGG
This 893-nucleotide ribosomal RNA is filed under the name uncultured bacterium. RNAcentral describes it as "bacterial SSU rRNA". It matches the Rfam family "Bacterial small subunit ribosomal RNA", at positions 8 to 916 of the family's 1533-position model. The record is from RNAcentral.